CUAUUAAACAGAAUACGUACCUGUAUAACCUCGAGAAUAUGGCUUGAGGGUCUCUACCAGGAACCAUAAAAAUCCUGAUUACAGAAAAUGAUUGAUUCAUU
This 101-nucleotide non-coding RNA is filed under the name Brevibacillus panacihumi. RNAcentral describes it as "Guanine sequence". It matches the Rfam family "Purine riboswitch aptamer". Rfam says of the family: Riboswitches are metabolite binding domains within certain messenger RNAs that serve as precision sensors for their corresponding targets. Allosteric rearrangement of mRNA structure is mediated by ligand binding, and this results in modulation of gene expression. A class of riboswitches that selectively recognises guanine and becomes saturated at concentrations as low as 5 nM. Lineage: Bacteria; Bacillati; Bacillota; Bacilli; Caryophanales; Paenibacillaceae. RNAcentral also lists the same sequence under 1 other name. The record is from RNAcentral.